AGUGAACGCUGGCGGUAGGCCUAACACAUGCAAGUCGAACGGCAGCACAGUAAGAGCUUGCUCUUACGGGUGGCGAGUGGCGGACGGGUGAGGAAUACAUCGGAAUCUACUUUUUCGUGGGGGAUAACGUAGGGAAACUUACGCUAAUACCGCAUACGACCUACGGGUGAAAGCAGUGGAUCUUCGGACCUUGCGCGAUUGAAUGAGCCGAUGUCGGAUUAGCUAGUUGGCGGGGUAAAGGCCCACCAAGGCGCCGAUCCGUAGCUGGUCUGAGAGGAUGGUCAGCCACACUGGAACUGAGACACGGUCCAGACUCCUACGGGAGGCAGCAGUGGGGAAUAUUGGACAAUGGGCGCAAGCCUGAUCCAGCCAUACCGCGUGGGUGAAGAAGGCCUUCGGGUUGUAAAGCCCUUUUGUUGGGAAAGAAAAGCAGCAGGUUAAUACCCCGCUGUUCUGACGGUACCCAAAGAAUAAGCACCGGCUAACUUCGUG
RNAcentral lists this ribosomal RNA (492 nucleotides) under uncultured bacterium. RNAcentral describes it as "partial 16S ribosomal RNA". It matches the Rfam family "Bacterial small subunit ribosomal RNA", at positions 29 to 507 of the family's 1533-position model. The record is from RNAcentral.